UACGUAGGGUCCAAGCGUUAAUCGGAAUUAUUGGGCGUAAAGGGUGCGUAGGCGGCCUGACAAGUCUGAUGUGAAAUCCCUGGGCUCAACCCAGGGCCUGCAUCGGAAACUGUCGGGCUUGAGUAUGGGAGAGGUGAGUGGAAUUUCCGGUGUAGCGGUGAAAUGCGUAGAUAUCGGAAGGAACACCUGUGGCGAAAGCGGCUCACUGGACCAUUACUGACGCUGAGGCACGAAAGCGAGGGGAGCAAACAGG
Molecule: ribosomal RNA, 253 nt
Filed under: uncultured bacterium
Lineage: Bacteria
Description: partial 16S ribosomal RNA
Rfam family: Bacterial small subunit ribosomal RNA
Source: RNAcentral